CGUUGCAUACCUUCUUUAAAUUCUUUAUCAUUUUUACGAAUCAAUGGUUCAUAAUAUUUACGAUAUUCUUUUAAGUUUCUUGAUAAAUAUGUAAUAUAAAAGUAUUCAUUUUGAUACCCGACGUUUUGUGUCUUGUUAAUU
This 141-nucleotide small RNA is filed under the name Staphylococcus aureus. RNAcentral's name for it is "Transcript". The record is from RNAcentral. Lineage: Bacteria; Bacillati; Bacillota; Bacilli; Caryophanales; Staphylococcaceae.